Molecule: ribosomal RNA, 274 nt
Filed under: uncultured bacterium
Lineage: Bacteria
Description: partial 16S ribosomal RNA
Rfam family: Bacterial small subunit ribosomal RNA
Source: RNAcentral
AUACGAAGGGGGCUAGCGUUGUUCGGAAUCACUGGGCGUAAAGCGCGCGUAGGUGGAUCAAUUAGUUGAGGGUGAAAUCCCGGGGCUCAACCUCGGAACUGCCUUCAAUACUGUUGAUCUUGAGACCGAGAGAGGUGAGUGGAAUUCCUAGUGUAGAGGUGAAAUUCGUAGAUAUUAGGAAGAACACCAGUGGCGAAGGCGGCUCACUGGCUCGGUACUGACGCUGAGGUGCGAAAGCGUGGGGACCAAACAGGAUUAGAUACCCUAGUAGUCC